Long non-coding RNA from Carya illinoinensis, 1448 nucleotides. RefSeq lists it as uncharacterized. The record is from RefSeq and is a predicted model, not a curated record. Lineage: Eukaryota; Viridiplantae; Streptophyta; Magnoliopsida; Fagales; Juglandaceae. The transcript has 2 exons.
UCACUCCUUUACGUCCUGUCCCGAGUAUCCGAUGUGGCUGCAUCGGGAACCUCGCGAAAACUCUUGAGCUAGGAUCCCUACAAUCUAGCAAAAAAGGGCGAAAAAAAAGUGGUAUACCUACAACGCAAUAGAUCUUAUGUAUACAAGAAGCGAACACAAACUCAAAAGGAAUCGAACCCCCGUCGUCUCAUUCGUCGGUGUUCGGGGGGGAUAGGCACGUGAUUUACCCGAAGAUGAUGUAGUACCAUCUGUUGUUAUCGUCGCCCCACCAGGACCAGGUGAUCAACCACCUCACCCUCGCCUACUUUGUCAUCUCCGGUCUCCACCUCCUCUCCGCCCUCGGUAGCGUACACCCCCCCCCCCCUCUCUCUCUCUCUCUCUCACAUUUUGCUUUCGCGGGUGAAAAGAAACAGGGUUUAGUUUACUUCCAUAUAUUCAUUGUUUUUGGGUUUGAGCAUUGCUUUUGCGUUUUUGCUUUGGAAAAUUGGAUUAUUGUUGCUCCAUCUUACGUCUGCUUCUGAAUUUUUAAGAUAUUUCGGAUUUUUUUUUUUUAACCAUGGUUGAGUGUCCUGAUUUCAAUGUUCGGUUUUGAUCCUAGCUACUGACUUUAGAAUAAAUCAUUCGAAUGUGCUGGGUCCCCCCGCGGGAGGGUGGGUUGUUCAUACUUGCAGCCAAGAAUCAUAAUCUGAUGUUUCCUUCUCCCGAGGUCAUAGUGUGGACAGUGAGUGAUGUUCGUAUAAUGAUAGGCACUUGAUUAUGUUCACAACCACAUGGUUGAACCAAACAACUUUUAGAAAACAAAUCUAAUUACAUGUUAUUUUAUAGGCAUUUUAGGUUGGCAAAUGGCAAGGAUGCAAUUGCCGGGUUUUAUCCAUGCAAGGAUGCAUGCGCUCGCUUACUAAUAUUAAGCGCACAUAAUAUCUAUAUUUUCUGGGAGCCUUCCCUUUUAAGCAUUACUCUUUAGGCGUUCCAUGGUUCAAGAACUUCUCAAUUUCCUCCAGACAAUAAUGGGGUUUUGAGUCACAACGACAGUCACAUGGCAAGCACAUAGAGUGCCCGCCAUACUAAAGAUUGUUGGCUACAACUUCUCAAGUAUCGACUUUGAGACAAUGUUGACAUCAAUGAGAAACCUCCAACAGCCAGAUGGGAGUAAGCUUUACAACUCCUAUUGUGGAUUCACUUCAUUCAGCCUCUUGGGAGAAUCCAGUAUGAAUUCGCUCUGGGUUCAGCUAGGAAUAACAGAUCUGGCUGCAGGGCUCUUAACUUUGAAACUCUUUUUCAUUUUAUUGGCUCUGUAACAUUCAUAUAUAUGGAAUUUGAUCAAAAAAAGGAAUUGGUUGCACUCUCCUGCCAAAUUGGGCAAGCAGCGUUGGUUAUUGAAUUCAAAUUCAAAUUAUCUAACUAACUCUUUACUUCAUUUAAUAUAGGUUUCCCAUGAAAUAUAAUCA